This is a long non-coding RNA of Prionailurus viverrinus (fishing cat), 2472 nucleotides long. RefSeq lists it as uncharacterized. The transcript has 7 exons. The record is from RefSeq and is a predicted model, not a curated record. Lineage: Eukaryota; Metazoa; Chordata; Mammalia; Carnivora; Felidae.
AGUGCGAUCAUGACCUGAGCUGAAGUUGGACGCUUAACUGACUGAGCCACCCGGGCACCCCAGCUUCCAGGCCUUUCUCCUGUCUUGUCUCCACAUAGCUACGUGAAUGAACUGAUCUCACACCUCCAUGGCUAUAGAAUCUUCUGCAGCAUCCCAUCACAUUCAGGAUAAUCACAAGGAUUGGAGACUUGCAAUCACUAAUUCUUCACCUCAUACUUGUCCACUUUGCCGUGUGAUGAGCUUAAAACCCUGAGAAAAAGAUUUUGAAAAUCAUUUCUGCGCAUUGUAUGUUACCUUUCCAUUUCUGUCAACAUGGGGUACUGUGCAACAGAGACAGGAUUGAUAAAAAACCACAAUAACAAAAAGAAGUCCUUAUUUGAUUUGAAAAGCUCCAAAGAAUGCAUGUUGCCACUUAUUCCAAGUGUCUUCUCCUGUUUCUGCAACCUCCGUCAAGUCAAAGGACUUUGCAAAAUUAUAUUUGGCAUGUGGAUACAUCACUUCAUCCGCCAGUAAAACACACAUGCCCCCUUACAAGUAAAACAGAGCAACUGUACCAAGGGACCUUGGCAGUUUUAUAGCAGAGAGGAAAGGCAAAGAUGAGAGCUCACAGGAAGCCCUCCCCAAAGUGCUGAGCCUUGGAAGAUGAAAAACAUGAGUACCAUGCAUGAGAUGGAGAUGACAGUGCACCUCCUUACAAUGAAAUGAGAGCAGGAGGAACCAAGGACAGGAUCUGGAUAGUCCACAAACGAAGGGCCAGCCGAAUGAGCUAUUUUUCACUUCAACUCUCUCCGUCUUGCCUGCUGCCACCACCUGGUCUUGUCACCACAACAUUCCUUAACACCCCAGUAGGGAAAAGGCAAACCAGAGGCAGACAGCCCUGGGCCCUAGAGUCUCAAGUCCACCAUCUGAUGAAGUGGCUUUGGGCAGGUUACCAAUCUCUGGGUCAUAAUGGAACAUGCACUGUGAAUAUCGUAAGUAGUCAUGCAAGGAGAGUACAUUGUAGCAGGUCUAUCACAGGAUGAGUGCUCAAUAAAAUUUAGUUACUGUUAUAGUGUAUUGUAUUGACAGAUAGGAUUAUAUUAGGUUACAUUACCUAUUACAUGCCCUACCUUGUUGCGUAUUGCGUUUAUUGCACUGCCUGGCGCUGUAUCGUAUCAUAUUACAUACAGUACUAGUAAAUUUACACUUCCUUGCAGAACCUGUGUCUAUCGGUGUGUUGGCCAAAGUAACACCCUUCAAAAAUAUGUCCUCUAAGUGCUUCUUGACUUUCUUCCCCAGACUCAAGACCAAUCCUUAGUUCUCUGUUGGGUGCUUCUACGAAGUAGAACGCAGUGCUCGUCAAGAAGAAAAUCUACUUGUCCUUCUUCUCAGACUUUUCAGCUGCAUCCAUGGCAAAUCCUGGCUGUCUUGCAGGGCUUUCUCCGUCUUCCCACUCAGAAGUCAUGGGGGUUCAGAAUCCUCAAGGGAGCUCUGUGUCUGCAGAAGAAAAUCAGCUUCGAUCUCCUCUGUUGACCUGACUUUCACCCUUCCCCUCCAGCAUUCCAGGCUCCCACUCACAUCAACAAGCUGCAUUUUUAAGAGUUGGUUGAGACUGAGCAGUUAAGGUUAAGAGAGCUCAAGAAUGGGGCCAAAGCACUGGGGGGGCCUGGGAGGGCUCAGUCAGUUGGGUGUCCCACUUCGGCUCAGGUCAUGAUCUCAUGGCUUGUGAGUUAGAGCCUUGCAUUGGACUUUGAGCUGACAACUCAGAGCCAGAAGCCUGCUUCAGAUUCUGUGUCCCUCUCUUACUUUGCCCCUACUCUGCUCAUGCUCUGUCUCUAAGAAUAAAUAAACAUUAAAAAAAUUAAAAACAACAACAAAAAAAGAAGAAUGGGGCCAAAGCAGAGUCUGACAGCACUCAGGCCAGUGUUCGUGAAGAGCCAGGGUUUGCCAGUACCCUUGGACUGUUUGCCUUACCCUGGAAAAGGGAUUGAGAGCUGAAGACAGGGCAUCAAAUCAGAGAAAUCAGGUCAUGAAGUCCCCAUUUCUAAGGAGUGGAACAUGCUCAAGGAAGAGAGCAACUUUCCCCCAGCCUGACAGAAUGCAACAUAAUUGGUUUGUGCCAAACAUGGCAAUUCCAUUCCCUUUUCCCUAUGAUUGACUUGGGAGCUGGCAUGUGACCCAAUUCUGACCAGUGAGACUAGAGAGACAAUCUGUUGAUGAUAUCUUCUCCCAAGAUUUAUGUUUUCUGCUACAAAGAGUAACAGCCAGUUCCCUCCUGCCUGACUUGAAUGUAAUUGCAUGGGAACAUGAUACUUGGAGCUACAGCAGCCAUUCUGUGAUCAUGAGGCAACAAGCCAAAGGGCACAGGAUAAAACAGUGAAAAGACAGAAUGAUAUCAUUAGAUUAGAUGAUAUCAUUAAACUGCUGAACCAAUCUGGAACCAAUGACUUCUAGACUUUGAUAAUUCGUGAGAUGAUUAAAAAUUUCUAUUGU